GGCUCUGCACUCUGUUGCUCUUUAUUUUUGAGAUAUCAACCCUUGCCUUAGUUCCAACACACCUACUUCCUUCUUGCAUUUACACCUCUUUAUUUUUGUAUCUCACUAUCCUUCAAUGUCUCAACAUGUUUGAAUACGAACCUAAUGUCAUAGAAAUCAUCAAUGAGGCCAUGAAUCUUCACUGUCAAGAUACUGUUCUCCAACUAGUUAAAAGCCAGGAAGCUACAUCUAUCUCACAGUGAUGGGUUUUAAUGGGUAAAAUCUUCUCUCACAAAACCUUUAGUCAAGGGAUCGUUAAGGUAGCUCUCAUGAAGGCAUGGAACCCUAGAAGAGGGUUUCAUAUUACUGCAAAAAGAAACAAUUCCUUCAUCUUCACUUUUGAGCAAGAGGUAGAUGCUCAAAAUGUUUUGAGAAAUCGCCCUUGGAAUGUCCAUAACCAACAUGUUGCUUUGCAGGAAUGACCACCAUAUUUGGCCUUUGAUGGAUUGGCUAUCACAUAGUCCCCUUUUUGGCUACAAUACAUGGGCUACCUCCAAUACAGAUUAAUUUGGAAAAUGCAAGAAUUACUGGGAAUCUGGUGGAAACUUUCGAGGCUUAUUUAUCUCAAGAAGAUCUUAUUGGGUAUCAUAGCUUCCUACAAAUUAGAGUUGACAUACCACUGAAUAAGCCAUUUUGCCCUGGGUUCCACAGCAAAAAACCAAAUGGCGAUAUAUAAUGGAUAACGCUGCACUAUGAGAAACUCCCAGACAUAUGCUUUGGAUGUGGGAUUA
This 770-nucleotide unclassified non-coding RNA is filed under the name Hevea brasiliensis (rubber tree). The record is from RNAcentral. Lineage: Eukaryota; Viridiplantae; Streptophyta; Magnoliopsida; Malpighiales; Euphorbiaceae.